GGCAGACAGACCGACAAGCGACUCAGUUCCUCAAGCCUCGGGCUCCCCAUCUGAAAUAUGGGGAUAGGAAUCGGGGCACUGCUUCUAGGGGGUCGCAAGGAUGAGGCACACAGUCUGGGCGCCGGGCACAUAGCCAGCGCUCAGGACGAUGCGCAGGUACAUGCCCAGGUGCACAGAGGAGGGGCGAGGGGCUCCGUCAGGUUGGGAAUCUUCCCAUCCUGUGUCUGCUCUGGACAAGCUGGGCUGACCACAUGGACAAGGGCACCCUGGCGGAGGGCACAGGACGUCUGGAAACACUGAGGCCUGAGAAAGCCCGUGGACUCAGAGGCUGGGGCAUGGGCCCGAGUGCCAAAGGGCCUGGAGAGCCGGGCAGCAGAGCAAGAGCGGCGGCCCGCCCUAGCUUUCCUCCUGGGAGUCUCCUCAUCUCCUGCUGCCUGCUGGAUAGCGAGGACCAGCUGGCUCGAGGGCCUGGGCUAACGUUUCCACUCAGGAGUUCCAAGUUACCUGGAAGAACUCGGCAAGUGCCCAGUAGUGAGGGUUCAGAAGUGUCAAUUUGGGACCCUGUCCUGCCCCUCAAGGGUGUCCUGGUUUUCUGCCCCUGCUGCAGCGAUGCUGUGAGAAGAAAUAAAAGCAUCUCUGGGAGCCCUGAAAGCAUCGUUGGCCUGGCCCUGAGCCUGCUGUGCCUCAGGGAAACGUGGGCCUGCUAGAGGACCCCCAACCUCAACAUCCCAGACUCGCUGGGCAAGCUCCCCUGUUAACCUGGAGACGCCCCACCUCCAUCCAGGCUGUGACCCCAAGCGAGGCUGAGUGUCAUUCAUCACUGCCGCAGCCCGGAGCCCUCUCUUCACAGGGAAGGACACUGAGAUCCGGAGAGUUGCCUGCCUUGCCCAAGGCCCUGCUGUGGAUCCAGAGCCCAGAUUGCUUUUCCCCUGGAGCAAACUAAAUCUUGGAGAUCUUGCCCUGUCAGGAGGUUGAAAUCUACCUUAUGACCUGCAACUGCCGCGGAGGACAUGGGGCCGCAGAGGACUGCCGAGACAGGAAUUCUCAUGCCCAUUUUACAGAUGAGGAAGUUGAGGCUCAGAGAGGGUGAGUGACUUGCCCGGGGUUGUCCCCACCCACGUGAGGGUCAGGGUCUGGUGGCACCUGAGAGGGGGAGGCAUGACAGGUGAGUAUGGGGCACAGAGAAAGGGGUGGCCGACGAGGGAGACCAAGGCCAGAGCCCAGAUGCCAGAGGGAGGAAAUGGGGCCCUCUGGGAACCUCAGUGGUUCUGGCUGUAAUUCGAGCUGAGUGCCCCACCGGAUGCUGAGGCGUUCCUUAGGCACUGUCCAGCUACACGCUCUCCCUCCUCCGGGCCCCUGACUCCCCUGAGCCUCCGUGGCCUGGGUGCUUGGGGUUGGGAGAUGUCCGAAUGGGCCCUGCCCUCUAGGACACACGACCUGUGCCCCCUUCCAUGCCGGGUGGGCCCAGGUGCAGGGCCAGGUGCUGCUGCCCGCAUCCCUCAUGGGAGAGCAUCAGUUCUCACCACCAUACCAGCGCUGGGUGGCCUCUGCUGGGCACCCGUCCCCAAGUCUGGGGUCAGGGUGAGGCACAUGCCGGGGAGGCCAGGCCACCUGGGCGGGCUGAGGGUGUGACUUGCAGUGCUUCCCAUGUAGGCCCAGGCAGCCAAGGCCCUAAUUACGCAGGCUUCCCGAGGAGGAGGAAGAACGAGGGGAAGUGGCCCCAGCCUCCUUACGCACUGUUUCCUCCUGACUCACUGCUGACCCGCUUGCCAGCCGGAAGUCACCAAAUUUCCCCAAACUUAUGGGUACCUGCCAGGUCAUGGGCCUGGUCCCAUUCUCCCCAGACGGGCCCGCCUCAGCUGACCUACCUCCCAGGCAUUUGGCUGAAAGAGGCCAAGCAGGGUGAUCCUGAGGAGCUGGGGAGGCAGGUGGGGGCGGGGAGACACUCAGGGUAUGGCCAGGGUGUGUCCUCGGUGCCAGCGCCCCACACAGCGUCCUUGGCCUGGUUUCCCCAGGGCAGCGCUCACCUGAUCACCUUGUGCCAGUCUCCUUGGAGGCCACCGGCUUAUUCACAAGGCCACUUGUGCCCAGUGGCCAAAGGGCACCAUAGCCAGUAGGGUCUGCCUGCCCUCCCAUCACAAAGGGUCCCAGAGAGGAGGCGCCCUACCCCACAGGGCCUUGGGCUUGGUCUGCAGGUCCUGUGCACCCCAGGCCCUCCUGCUCUGCUGGCCGUGUGGCCUGGACAGGCUGCCUCUGGUCCCGGGCUUCUUAACCUGUGCAACGGAGAUCCUCAGAUCUACCUUGUGCAGCUGUUGCCUGGAUCAGAUGGAACCCUGUGUUCAGAAGGCAUGGGGUGGUGCUGGCUGCAGGCUGCUGCCCUGGGGCUUUCUGAGCCGCAUCCCCAGGGCCAUCAAAUCCUGUGGGGCUCGCUUGUGGAGUUCCCAGUCUGCCUGCAGAGCAGAAUCUCUUGGGAGAUUUUAAACAGAUUUCACUUUGUGUCAAAUCCUGUUCAUAUUUUACACGUCCAACAUUCUACAGAAGAGGACAGAAUUUGUGGUGCCCCGGGUCCCCACAUCCAUGACCAGCCCACGUCCAUCUUGUUUAUUUAUACUCUGCCAACUACUUCCUUUCUUCCUAUUGGAAUCAACCCAAGGAGGUAUUUUUUAAGUACAAGUGCCAGAUUCUCACCUCCAGGAAUUUAAUCGAGUCAUCCAGGCCCAGAAAAAGGGUAUUUCCGCAAAGCUCCGGGAGACGUGGAGGUGCAGCCAGGGCCCGCCUGCGGGGCAGGGAGACCUGGGGCGCUGCCUCCAGAGGGUCUGGGAGACGUGGUGAGACCCCAGAGCAGUGGGGACAGACUCGAGGGGUGCACAGCACCUCCACUCCAGACGAGGAGAGAAACCACACGUGGAGACAGAUCCCACCCCAUGCCCACCUCAGGGUCUGAGAGGGAGAGGCCGACUCCCUCUUGGCUGCCUGGAGAGGCUGCUGACAGAGCCGUCAAUCCCACGCUCUGGGGAGAGCAAAGACCUGUGUGGACAAACCCACCCAGGAGAGUGGUUAACUGGCCAACCGCAAGGCUGCACAUUCCCGGGGGACUGAGCCAGCCGGUUCCUAUCAAAGGAGAGCCUGGCGCUGGCAGAGCUGGCGACAAAGGAUGCUUUGUUCCCCCGUUAAAAUAAACACUUCCCCUGGAUGUUUACUCCCACGUCUCGAAUGUAAUAUGGGGUGUAAGUUACUCUUUAACAGCUGACUUGGUCCAGGCCACCGAACUCUCCUGCACUAAUUUCCUGGAAGAAAGGCGUUCCCACCACCAACCCAGGUGUUUAUUAACCACGCCCCUUGGCGGUCAAGGAGAAGCUGGGUGCGGCUGUCACCUCUGAGAACCCGUGUGUCCUUGGGGGGCCACCCUCAGCCUUCCCUGAAGAACCAGUAGCGAGUUGACCAGUGAGUCCUCGGCUGUCUGGACAGGGAAACUUGAGGCUAGUGGGGUAGUUUUCCUCUGUGAGGUGAGAAACCUGUCUGUUCAGUCCCCACUUUGAGAGAACACAGUCGACCUAGGCUCCUGGGGAAAGUGGGCAUCCGGCUGGCCAGGCCGGCCCCCAGCACCAGGGCCCAGCGCACACCCACUGCAACUAUUACCAG
RNAcentral lists this long non-coding RNA (3642 nucleotides) under Equus caballus (horse). Its description in RNAcentral is "lncRNA (ENSECAG00000052939.1)". The record is from RNAcentral. Lineage: Eukaryota; Metazoa; Chordata; Mammalia; Perissodactyla; Equidae.